GAUGAACGCUAGCGGCAGGCCUAACACAUGCAAGUCGAGGGGCAGCACGAAAAAGCUUGCUUUUUUGGUGGCGACCGGCGCACGGGUGCGUAACGCGUAUGCAACCUACCCUGUACUGGAGGAUAGCCCGAAGAAAUUCGGAUUAAUACUCCAUAAUAAACGAAGUGGCAUCACUUUGUUUUGAAAGCUCCGGCGGUAAAGGAUGGCCAUGCGCACGAUUAGCUAGUAGGUGAGGUAACGGCUCACCUAGGCUACGAUCGUUAGGGGGCCUGAGAGGGUUAUCCCCCACACUGGUACUGAGACACGGACCAGACUCCUACGGGAGGCAGCAGUGAGGAAUAUUGCGCAAUGGAGGCAACUCUGACGCAGCCAUGCCGCGUGCAGGAAGAAGGCGCUACGCGUUGUAAACUGCUUUUAACCGGGAAGAAACCCUCCGACGUGUCGGAGGUUGACGGUACCGGAGGAAUAAGCACCGGCUAACUUCGUGCCAGCAGCCGCGGU
This 501-nucleotide ribosomal RNA is filed under the name uncultured bacterium. Its description in RNAcentral is "bacterial SSU rRNA". It matches the Rfam family "Bacterial small subunit ribosomal RNA", at positions 28 to 521 of the family's 1533-position model. The record is from RNAcentral.